CCUACGGGAUGCAGCAGUGGGGAAUAUUGCGCAAUGGGCGAAAGCCUGACGCAGCGACGCCGCGUGAGGGAUGAAGGUCUUCGGAUCGUAAACCUCUGUCAGCAGGGAAGAACGGUCACUGUGCUAAUCAGCAGCGAAUUGGCGGUACCUGCAAAGGAAGCACCGGCUAACUCCGUGCCAGCAGCCGCGGUAAUACGGAGGGUGCGAGCGUUAAUCGGAUGUACUGGGCGUAAAGCGCUCGCAGGCGGUAUGUCAAGUCAAGGGUGAAAUCCCCGGGCUCAACGUGGGAACUGCCUUUGAAACUGGCAAACUGGAGUGUGUUAGAGGAUAGUGGAAUUCCAGGUGUAGGAGUGAAAUCCGUAGAUAUCUGGAGGAACAUCAGUGGCGAAGGCGACUAUCUGGCACAUAACUGACGCUGAGGAGCGAAAGCGUGGGUAGCAAACAGGAUUAGAUACCCUUGUAGUC
This 465-nucleotide ribosomal RNA is filed under the name uncultured bacterium. Its description in RNAcentral is "partial 16S ribosomal RNA". It matches the Rfam family "Bacterial small subunit ribosomal RNA", at positions 338 to 795 of the family's 1533-position model. The record is from RNAcentral.